AAUAGAUCCCCGGUAGUCCACGCCGUAAACGAUGUCGACUUGGAGGUUGUGCCCUUGAGGCGUGGCUUCCGGAGCUAACGCGUUAAGUCGACCGCCUGGGGAGUACGGCCGCAAGGUUAAACUCAAAUGAAUUGACGGGGGCCCGCACAAGCGGUGGAGCAUGUGGUUUAAUUCGAUGCAACGCGAAGAACCUUACCUACUCUUGACAUCCAGAGAACUUAGCAGAGAUGCUUUGGUGCCUUCGGGAACUCUGAGACAGGUGCUGCAUGGCUGUCGUCAGCUCGUGUUGUGAAAUGUUGGGUUAAGUCCCGCAACGAGCGCAACCCUUAUCCUUUGUUGCCAGCGGUUAGGCCGGGAACUCAAAGGAGACUGCCAGUGAUAAACUGGAGGAAGGUGGGGAUGACGUCACGUCAUCAUGGCCCUUACGAGUAGGGCUACACACGUGCUACAAUGGCAUAUACAAAGAGAAGCGACCUCGCGAGAGCAAGCGGACCUCAUAAAGUAUGUCGUAGUCCGGA
This 518-nucleotide ribosomal RNA is filed under the name uncultured bacterium. RNAcentral describes it as "bacterial SSU rRNA". It matches the Rfam family "Bacterial small subunit ribosomal RNA", at positions 777 to 1297 of the family's 1533-position model. The record is from RNAcentral.